UACAGAGGUCUCAAGCGUUGUUCGGAUUCAUUGGGCGUAAAGGGCGCGUAGGCGGUGGGGUAAGUCUGGUGUGAAAUCUCGGAGCUCAACUUCGAAAUUGCACUGGAUACUGCUCUGCUAGAGGGCUGGAGAGGAGAUCGGAAUUCACGGUGUAGCAGUGAAAUGCGUAGAUAUCGUGAGGAAGACCAGUGGCGAAGGCGGAUCUCUGGACAGUUACUGACACUGAGGCACGAAGGCCAGGGGAGCAAACGGG
Molecule: ribosomal RNA, 253 nt
Filed under: uncultured bacterium
Lineage: Bacteria
Description: partial 16S ribosomal RNA
Rfam family: Bacterial small subunit ribosomal RNA
Source: RNAcentral